RNAcentral lists this ribosomal RNA (254 nucleotides) under uncultured bacterium. RNAcentral's name for it is "partial 16S ribosomal RNA". It matches the Rfam family "Bacterial small subunit ribosomal RNA", at positions 524 to 776 of the family's 1533-position model. The record is from RNAcentral.
UACGUAGGGGGCAAGCGUUGUCCGGAUUUAUUGGGCGUAAAGAGCUCGUAGGCGGCUUGGCAAGUCGGGUGUGAAAACUUCAGGCUCAACCUGGAGCGGCCACUCGAUACUGCUAUGGCUUGAGUCCGGUAGGGGACCACGGAAUUCCUGGUGUAGCGGUGAAAUGCGCAGAUAUCAGGAGGAACACCGGUGGCGAAGGCGGGUCUCUGGGCAACAACUGACGCUGAGGAGCGAAAGCGUGGGGAGCGAACAGG